Molecule: non-coding RNA, 184 nt
Filed under: Clostridium colicanis DSM 13634
Lineage: Bacteria; Bacillati; Bacillota; Clostridia; Eubacteriales; Clostridiaceae
Source: RNAcentral
UCGAAUAGCUUCGAUAUUGGUACUGACAAAGUUUAAUAGGGAAUUAGGUGAGAAUCCUAAACAGUCCUGCUGCCGUAUUGAGGUAGUUGUUUUUUGUGCGAAAGCAGCCACUGGAGUAAUCUGGGAAGGUAAAAAACAGCGAUGAUCUCUAAGUCGGAAUACCUGCCAAUAUUUUUGCGUAUAA